RNAcentral lists this transfer RNA (73 nucleotides) under Planctomycetota bacterium. RNAcentral's name for it is "tRNA-Lys". It matches the Rfam family "tRNA". From Rfam's summary of the family: Transfer RNA (tRNA) molecules are approximately 80 nucleotides in length. Their secondary structure includes four short double-helical elements and three loops (D, anti-codon, and T loops). Further hydrogen bonds mediate the characteristic L-shaped molecular structure. tRNAs have two regions of fundamental functional importance: the anti-codon, which is responsible for specific mRNA codon recognition, and the 3' end, to which the tRNAs corresponding amino acid is attached (by aminoacyl-tRNA synthetases). tRNAs cope with the degeneracy of the genetic code in two manners: having more than one tRNA (with a specific anti-codon) for a particular amino acid; and 'wobble' base-pairing, i.e. permitting non-standard base-pairing at the 3rd anti-codon position. Lineage: Bacteria; Pseudomonadati; Planctomycetota. The record is from RNAcentral.
GCACCCUUAGCUCAGUUGGUAGAGCAGCUGACUCUUAAUCAGCGGGUCGUAGGUUCGAAUCCUACAGGGUGUA